AUAUAGUCUAAAUAAAAAAUAAAAGCAAAUCAACUAUUAGCUGAUGAUAAAUAAAUAUAAAAUAGAGCUGGUACAAACUGCAACUAAUAAAUGGUCUAUUUGUUAUUAUUGAUCAAAUCAAUGAAUUGUUGAUUAGGACUUCUAAAGCUUUUAUUUCUCUCUUUCGGAGAGGGUGUUUGACUUAACUUGUAAAUAUUUGCUUAUAAGCUAAGUUGAGUUUAUAAUUAUUUAUAAUAUUAAGUAGUUAUGAGUUUGGUUAAAGUGUUUAUAAGUGAUUAAUAAACAAUUAAUGUUUAGUAAAAAAUAGUUUAUAAGCACAUUUAUUAUUAAAA
Molecule: unclassified non-coding RNA, 332 nt
Filed under: Hevea brasiliensis (rubber tree)
Lineage: Eukaryota; Viridiplantae; Streptophyta; Magnoliopsida; Malpighiales; Euphorbiaceae
Source: RNAcentral